GGGCGUCUCUAUCUCAUUGCGAGAGGAGGCGCACCUAGAGCGUACACGCUGAUACCCGAAAGAUGGUGAACUAAGCCUGGCCAGGACGAAGCCAGGGGAAACCCUGGUGGAGGUCCGCAGCGAUUCUGACGUGCAAAUCGAUCGUCGGAGCUGGGUUUAGGGGCGAAAGACCAAUCGAACCAUCUAGUAGCUGGUUCCCUCUGAAGUUUCCCUCAGGAUAGCUUGCGCUCGGGUUAGACGAGUCUCAUCCGGUAGAGCGAAUGAUUAGAGGCCUUGGGGUCGAAACGACCUCAACCUAUUCUCAAACUCCAAAUAGAUGAGAACUCCGGCUUUCUUGAAAUUUAUUUCUGAAGCCGGGGGCUCGGAUCAGAGUGCCAAGUGGGCCGAUUUU
This 391-nucleotide ribosomal RNA is filed under the name Monalocoris amamianus. RNAcentral's name for it is "eukaryotic LSU rRNA". It matches the Rfam family "Eukaryotic large subunit ribosomal RNA", at positions 763 to 1138 of the family's 3401-position model. The record is from RNAcentral. RNAcentral also lists the same sequence under 1 other name. Lineage: Eukaryota; Metazoa; Arthropoda; Insecta; Hemiptera; Miridae.